Molecule: ribosomal RNA, 422 nt
Filed under: uncultured bacterium
Lineage: Bacteria
Description: bacterial SSU rRNA
Rfam family: Bacterial small subunit ribosomal RNA
Source: RNAcentral
ACUCCUACGGGAGGCAGCAGUGGGGAAUAUUGCACAAUGGGGGAAACCCUGAUGCAGCCAUGCCGCGUGUGUGAAGAAGGGCCUUCGGGUUGUAAAGCACUUUCAGUAGGGAGGAGGUAGUGUAGUUAACACCUGCACUAUUUGACGUUACCUACAGAAGAAGCACCGGCUAACUCCGUGCCAGCAGCCGCGGUAAUACGGAGGGUGCGAGCGUUAAUCGGAAUUACUGGGCGUAAAGCGCAUGCAGGCGGCCUGUUAAGUCAGAUGUGAAAGCCCGGGGCUUAACCUCGGAAUUGCAUUUGAAACUGGCAGGCUAGAGUCUUGUAGAGGGGGGUAGAAUUUCAGGUGUAGCGGUGAAAUGCGUAGAGAUACUGAAGGAAUACCAGUGGCGAAGGCGGCCCCCUGGACAAAGACUGACGCUC